Molecule: ribosomal RNA, 449 nt
Filed under: uncultured bacterium
Lineage: Bacteria
Description: partial 16S ribosomal RNA
Rfam family: Bacterial small subunit ribosomal RNA
Source: RNAcentral
AACGAACGCUGGCGGCAUGCCUAACACAUGCAAGUCGAACGAGACCUUCGGGUCUAGUGGCGCACGGGUGCGUAACGCGUGGGAAUCUGCCCUUGGGUUCGGAACAACAGUUAGAAAUGACUGCUAAUACCGGAUGAUGACGUAAGUCCAAAGAUUUAUCGCCCAAGGAUGAGCCCGCGUAAGAUUAGGUAGUUGGUGGGGUAAAGGCCUACCAAGCCGACGAUCUUUAGCUGGUCUGAGAGGAUGAUCAGCCACACUGGGACUGAGACACGGCCCAGACUCCUACGGGAGGCAGCAGUGGGGAAUAUUGGACAAUGGGCGAAAGCCUGACCCAGCAAUGCCGCGUGAGUGAUGAAGGCCUUAGGGUUGUAAAGCUCUUUUACCAGGGAUGAUAAUGACAGUACCUGGAGAAUAGACAAGUUUGAGGACGUUACCCCAAGAAUAAGCAC